Molecule: long non-coding RNA, 1154 nt
Organism: Symphalangus syndactylus (siamang)
Lineage: Eukaryota; Metazoa; Chordata; Mammalia; Primates; Hylobatidae
Source: RefSeq, a predicted model, not a curated record
UUUACUGAAUCUGGCAAUCCUAACCAGGUGUGAUCCCAGAAAGACGCCACUGAUAUGGGGCUUUGGUGCUGGAUCACUCACCAUCCUUCCUUCAGUGAGGACCCCAGGUUGGUAAUAGAUAAAGCACAAAUAGCAACUGGGACAAGGAAUUGGUCUAAUAGCUCAAACUUUCAUUGGUGAUCAACUGGCAUGGUAUAGUGGUAGAAAGGAAGGCAUUAGCUGAUGUGAUGUGUCAGAUGUUUGAGAUUUGGGAGAAAUAGGGACUGAAAGGAUAGAAUCAGGUGGCUACUGCUAAGCUUGAUUGGCCCACUGAAAACAGAUAAAAAGCUGAGCAUGACUAAUCACCAACGGAAAGCUGAGUGAGAAAGCUAAGGGCCUCCUAACCCGCUCCUUACACCUCCAGCUUACAAAGAAGCUCUUGUCUACUGCAGAAGGGGAGAAAAAUCUUAGGAUCGGACCCUGGACUUGAAGAUCAGAGCUGCCAACCUCCAAAGAAGGUUAAACUCCCAACAAAAGAAGACCUGCUAUGCCAAGAGCCUUUUUAAAAACUAAUUUUUUGGAAGGAGGUGGAGCAAGACGGUGAAAGAAGCCUCCAGCAAUCAUCCCCCCCACAGGAACAUCAAAUCUAACUACUAUCUACACAAAAAAGCACCUUAGGAAGCCUAAAAAUCAGUGCUGCCCUGUCACAGUGGAAAGCAACACCAGGCAGAAAUCAACUGACCCCAUAGAGAGAACAUUUAGAUGAGCCCUAGCCAGAGGGGAGUCAUGCCUUCCGGCGGCCAGAAAUUGAGCUCCGCAAGUCUCGCUGCUGCAGGCUAAGGUGACUUGGAUUCCAACUAACCUUGAGAAGCAAGUCUAGGCCACAAGGACUACAACUCCUAGGUGACUGCCUCCCUUUCAUCAUGAAGGGCCAUUCAAAUUUUCUGCCCAUGCCUCCAGGGACUCCCCUAUGGCUGCUGCAGCUGAUAAAGAUGCAUCCAAGAAAACUUCCAAGGAAUGGUCAAUGUGUGGCACAGCUAACUCAGUGAAGGCCAAACUGCUGAAGAAUCUAUUUGUCUUAACUAGCUGAAUUCACCAAUCUGUUUCCCAAAAACUUGUUUUGUGAAAUAUUUUCCUGUAAUAUCUUCAGUGAAUAAAAGAUCUUAUUCUUAUAA